Long non-coding RNA from Sinocyclocheilus anshuiensis, 124 nucleotides. RefSeq lists it as uncharacterized. The transcript is spliced from 3 exons. The record is from RefSeq and is a predicted model, not a curated record. NCBI's taxonomy places the organism in Eukaryota, Metazoa, Chordata, Actinopteri, Cypriniformes, Cyprinidae.
UAUUAUAUUAUUAUAUCACAUUAUGAAACGAUACUGUGGGAAUAAAUGCGUAAUAAAACACUAAACUGAGCAGAACUACUUUGAUAAGCGGAAGAAGAUGUGGUCAAGAGCACACACAUCUCAA